UUACUGGAACUGUGGGGAAGGGUUUCCCUGAGCAAAGCCCCUGGAAAAAAAGCGAGCAGUGCUUGCCCCGAUUCCCGACCCCUCCGGCCCUUGGUGUUGGCCUGCCAGGAUGCAAAAGAGGACAGGCCAAGAGGGCAAGCCGGGAGGUGUGUGGAGUGGGAAGGGCAUGGGAAGCUCGAGGAGCAAAAACACACAGAGCGGCCGCCAGCAGCCGGCGUAGAGGGCGUGGGAGGCAGGCAGAGCACAGCACUGAAGCAGUGAUUGACCUCCUCACCAGAGACGACUGGAUUAUCAGACUCUGGGCGGGUACUGUGCAAGCUGUCAAGCAACCUCGCAAAGAGGAGGCGGCGGAGGGUGGAGCGUGGACAAGUCCCAUUCCUGCACCUGCAGUGUAAACACGUGACGAUCUGGAAGCUCUUCACCUGCCCAAGGCCCCACCCUGCUCAAGACCCAGAUUUCCAGCAUUACAUCCAGUCUAUGUGGACACCAGUGCUGUCCAAGAAAUCAUGUAGUAAGACUGCAUAUUUGCCAAAUUCCCAAAGAAGUUUACUCUGAGUAUCUAUGGAGGAAAAGAUGUUGGAACAUGACCACCUAUUCAAUGAUACAAAUGGAUCUACCUCAAAGCUCCUGACUAAAUGUUAUUCCGUGGCCAAGGAUCCUGCUUUUGCCUGUUUAAGGCACUUGCUGGGGGCACAGAGUGCAGGCCUUCCUUCUGCCUGUCCAUAUUUGGAGAAUUGUUUGGCCUCUUUAAACAGGAUAACCAGCCCAGGAUUCAGGUAAGCAGAUCUAACAAACUAUCCCAAACAGGAAUCAGUUGUGCUCUCUUUCUCUGCCUUUUGAAAGCUGGAAUGCCAAAUUCUCAGGAUUCUCAGGACUGAAUGCGGCUCAAGACCCGUUCUAAUGGUUUCACUGUUUUGUUUGUGAGGAUUAUCAUCUGUGCAGAUAACUUUGCAUUUGCAUCACUAAUAGACUUCUUUCAAAGGGAAAGACAUUUCAGUAGGGCUGGGACAGCCUUUAAAGUUUUGUUUGUUCCUUUUUGGCAGGGCCAACCUAGUCCUCUUGAAAAGAGAUGGAUUUCCAUGUAAGGGCCUGAUUUGCCAUAUGAGUUUCAACAUAAAUAAAAGUGUUUGUGCAAUUAACUGCUCACAGAGAGUAAAAUAUUACGUUCUUUGUAAUGUGUACAUACAACCAUAUCCGAUGUCUUUUUUGUUCUAGUCUAACACUCACUUUACUAGAAGUAACACUAAUGAUCACACUUUCUUUAAGUCAGAGAAAUAGCUUCCCUCUUCUAUGAUUGGAAGCAUCCUUAGAAAUCAUCUAAUCCUUUCAAAUAAAAACUACUUCACAGCAUCUCUCCUGGGCUUACCGCUGUUUGGAUACAGCAGGUCCAUGGACUCAUUCCACAUCAUUUUGUUAUGACGUUGAUGAGAUGCUGUAGGAACUUAACUCUUCUUUAUUUCACUUAGCCUGUGGGAAAACUG
Long non-coding RNA from Myotis daubentonii (Daubenton's bat), 1481 nucleotides. RefSeq lists it as uncharacterized. The record is from RefSeq and is a predicted model, not a curated record. Lineage: Eukaryota; Metazoa; Chordata; Mammalia; Chiroptera; Vespertilionidae.